UACGGAGGAUGCAAGCGUUAUCCGGAUUUAUUGGGUUUAAAGGGUGCGCAGGUUGUUUGAUAAGUCAGUGGUGAAAGUCUGUCGCUUAACGGUAGGAUUGCCAUUGAUACUGUUGGACUUGAAUAUGGAUGAGGUAGGCAGAAUGUGUAGUGUAGCGGUGAAAUGCAUAGAUAUUACACAGAACACCAAUUGCGAAGGCAGCUUACUAAUCCAUCAUUGACGCUGAGGCACGAAAGCGUGGGGAUCAAACA
This 251-nucleotide ribosomal RNA is filed under the name uncultured prokaryote. RNAcentral describes it as "partial 16S ribosomal RNA". It matches the Rfam family "Bacterial small subunit ribosomal RNA", at positions 524 to 774 of the family's 1533-position model. The record is from RNAcentral.